GUGCCAGCCGCCGCGGUAAUACGAGUGGUGCAAGCGUUAUUCGGAAUCAUUGGGCGUAAAGGGUGUGUAGACGGCAUGCUAAGUCAACUGUUAAAUUCUCCGGCCUAACCGGAGGCGUGCAGUAGAUACUGAUGUGCUAGGGGGUGGAAGAGAGAAGCGGAAUUCUCGGAGUAGCGGUAAAAUGCGUAGAUCUCGAGAGGAACACCAAUGGCGAAGGCAGCUUCUUGGUCCACUACUGACGUUGAGACACGAAAGCGUGGGGAGCAAACAGGAUUAGAUACCCUGGUAGUCCACGCUGUAAACGAUGAUCACUGGACGUUAGUUCUGUUUUUACGGAAUUAGUGUCGUAGCUAACGCGUUAAGUGAUCCGCCUGGGAAUUACGGUCGCAAGAUUAAA
Molecule: ribosomal RNA, 397 nt
Filed under: uncultured bacterium
Lineage: Bacteria
Description: bacterial SSU rRNA
Rfam family: Bacterial small subunit ribosomal RNA
Source: RNAcentral